CAGUCGCCGCGGUAAUACGUAGGUGGCAAGCGUUGUCCGGAAUUAUUGGGCGUAAAGGGCUCGCAGGCGGUUUCUUAAGUCUGAUGUGAAAGCCCCCGGCUCAACCGGGGAGGGUCAUUGGAAACUGGGAAACUUGAGUGCAGAAGAGGAGAGUGGAAUUCCACGUGUAGCGGUGAAAUGCGUAGAGAUGUGGAGGAACACCAGUGGCGAAGGCGGCUUUUUGGCCUGUAACUGACACUGAGGCGCGAAAGCGUGGGGAGCAAACAGGAUUAGAGACCCGAGUAGUCCCUGUCUCUUAUAC
RNAcentral lists this ribosomal RNA (301 nucleotides) under uncultured bacterium. Its description in RNAcentral is "partial 16S ribosomal RNA". It matches the Rfam family "Bacterial small subunit ribosomal RNA", at positions 509 to 807 of the family's 1533-position model. The record is from RNAcentral.